RNAcentral lists this ribosomal RNA (404 nucleotides) under uncultured bacterium. RNAcentral describes it as "bacterial SSU rRNA". It matches the Rfam family "Bacterial small subunit ribosomal RNA", at positions 355 to 777 of the family's 1533-position model. The record is from RNAcentral.
UGGGGAAUAUUGCACAAUGGGCGAAAGCCUGAUGCAGCAACGCCGCGUGAGCGAUGAAGGCCUUCGGGUCGUAAAGCUCUGUCCUCAAGGAAGAUAAUGACGGUACUUGAGGAGGAAGCCCCGGCUAACUACGUGCCAGCAGCCGCGGUAAUACGUAGGGGGCUAGCGUUAUCCGGAUUUACUGGGCGUAAAGGGUGCGUAGGUGGUUUCUUAAGUCAGGAGUGAAAGGCUACGGCUCAACCGUAGUAAGCUCUUGAAACUGGGAAACUUGAGUGCAGGAGAGGAAAGUGGAAUUCCUAGUGUAGCGGUGAAAUGCGUAGAUAUUAGGAGGAACACCAGUAGCGAAGGCGGCUUUCUGGACUGUAACUGACACUGAGGCACGAAAGCGUGGGGAGCAAACAGGA